Molecule: long non-coding RNA, 605 nt
Filed under: Rattus norvegicus (Norway rat)
Lineage: Eukaryota; Metazoa; Chordata; Mammalia; Rodentia; Muridae
Description: long non-coding RNA NONRATT019617
Source: RNAcentral
AGUGAGAAUGCAGAGGCUCUUUCUCAACUUUUGACCUUGGCACGGUGGAUACAGACUGUCCUUGCAAGAAUAUCAGGUUAUAAUAUGAAACACGCUAAAGGUUUGUAGGAAUCUAUUUGUACUGGACAUUUGAAAAUUAUUUCUAAAUAUUUAACUUUUUAAAAAUUGAAUUGUAUGUUUCUGAGUGAUCCACUUUAUGUAUGUCUGUGGGACACUCUAUGACUUGGGGCCCUCAGAGACUUGAAAAGGACACUGGAUCUCCAGAACUGAAAUUAAAAAGUUGUGAGCUUGGUCCUCUGGGAGAGCCGUCAGUACCCUAAACCACUGAGCCAUCUCUACAGCCCCCUAAAUCUUUAAUUUUUUUUGCAAGUAAUUAUUAUGCUAAAAUAUGAUUUGAAAGUACAGAUUUGUUAAAUAUCAGGAAAUAGAGAUUUUGAGUCCAAGACUUUUUGGCUAUCGGUUUACUCAGUUCAAUCAUUUUUCAUAAUGGAAAACAGAACAGUGUAUAAUGUUCUGUCUUAAUAUUAAUAAAAAUGUAUUAAAGCUGUAUCCUUAUGUAUAUAUUUUUUACAGCUGAAUGACAAUGUUGCCAUGGAGAUAGGCUU